This 69-nucleotide transfer RNA is filed under the name Pithecopus megacephalus (large-headed leaf frog). RNAcentral describes it as "tRNA-Thr". It matches the Rfam family "tRNA". From Rfam's summary of the family: Transfer RNA (tRNA) molecules are approximately 80 nucleotides in length. Their secondary structure includes four short double-helical elements and three loops (D, anti-codon, and T loops). Lineage: Eukaryota; Metazoa; Chordata; Amphibia; Anura; Hylidae. The record is from RNAcentral.
GCCACAGUAGCUUAAACAAAGCAUUGGUCUUGUAAACCAAAGAAUAAAGUGUAAAACCUUUCUGUAGCU